This 563-nucleotide ribosomal RNA is filed under the name Rubroboletus eastwoodiae. Its description in RNAcentral is "LSU rRNA". It matches the Rfam family "Eukaryotic large subunit ribosomal RNA", at positions 53 to 614 of the family's 3401-position model. The record is from RNAcentral. Lineage: Eukaryota; Fungi; Basidiomycota; Agaricomycetes; Boletales; Boletaceae.
GAGGAAAAGAAACUAACAAGGAUUCCCCUAGUAACUGCGAGUGAAGCGGGAAGAGCUCAAAUUUUGAAUCUGGCGGUCUUUGGUCCGUCCGAGUUGUAAUCUAGAGAAGCGUCUUCCGCGCUGGACCGUGUACAAGUCUCCUGGAAGGGAGCGUCAUAGAGGGUGAGAAUCCCGUCUUUGACACGGACUACCAGUGCUAUGUGAUGCGCUCUCGACGAGUCGAGUUGUUUGGGAAUGCAGCUCAAAAUGGGUGGUAAAUUCCAUCUAAAGCUAAAUACAGGCGAGAGACCGAUAGCGAACAAGUACCGUGAGGGAAAGAUGAAAAGAACUUUGGAAAGAGAGUUAAACAGUACGUGAAAUUGCUGAAAGGGAAACGCUUGAUGUCAGUCGCGUCGUCCGGGGAUCAACCUUGCUUCUCGCUGGGUGUAUUUCCCGGUCGACGGGUCAGCAUCAGUUUCGGUCGUCGUACAAGGGCGAGGGGAAUGUGGCACUCUUCGGAGUGUGUUAUAGCCUUUCGUCGUAUGCGGCGGUCGGGACUGAGGAACUCAGCACGACUUCCGUUG